GAUGAGUCCAGCGCCGAAUCCGGGUGCGCCUGCGCGCGUGCCUGGAAAUGUGGCGUAUGGGAGACUGCGUGCCGUCGGCGAAGUCCUUGGAGCAAGUCCCCUUGAUUGGGGCGAGCGUAAUGCGACCAAAGCGGGUGCGAGUCCCGUAGCCCUUGGUAACUGUCGGCGGAGUGCGGUCUCUCGUGAGUCGGGUUGCUUGAGAGUGCAGCCCUAAGAAAGGUGGUAAACUCCAUCUAAGACUAAAUACGACCUCGAGACCGAUAGCGAACAAGUACCGUGAGGGAAAGUUGCAAAGAACUUUGAAGAGAGAGUUCAAGAGUACGUGAAACUGUUCAGAGGAAAACGGGUGGGCGUUCGAACCCCCCCUCGGCGGUUACCCGGAUUCAGUCCGUCGCUUUUUCCGGAGAGUUAUCGUUCGUCCGUUGCAGUGUCGGUGGCCGCUUUUUGCGGGCCCGAUAGUAUUUUUGGCGACGACGGUUCGGUUUUCUUCCGGGAUGCGGUGGCGGACGCAUUUCCGUGGUUUCUGCCCGAGUAUAGGGCGCUGCGACCGAUCGGGCACCAAAAGAGUGCCGGCCAUGGGUCCAGUUUAGCGGUUAGGAGCGCUGUUUCGCGAGCGCGGGUUUGCGCCCGUGCGAGCGUCAGUUUGCUCCUCCGGCUGGGCGUUAACCAUGGUCGGUCGGCCGAUCGGUGUGUGCAGAAGUGCAGUGGUGUGCGGUGCUCUCGUAACUCGAGUCGUGCCGAGGUGCAAACAUUUUAUUAAGUGGUUCCGCCGGUUUAGCAGUGUCCGCGUCUCCGGGCGCGGGCCGAAUUUGAAAAAAGCUUUCCGGUUUUUGUUUGUGAACCUCGUGCCUCGGAUUUUUUUCGGCUCGGUGAGUUGUCGCCUAACCAUCGCGGCGAGCGUCUCGGUGUCCCACCCGACCCNNNNNNNNNNNNNGACCAAGGAGUCUAACCCGUAUGCGAGUCGUAGGGUCUUGUUUAGGCCCCGUGGCGUAGCGAAAGCAAAGUCGAGACAUUGGAAUAUUGCGUUCCUUUAGCAUCGGCGGCCCGGCGGUGUGGCCGGGUGGCACGGCCCGUUCGGGUCAAACCGAACGGCGAGUCGUGCCCGGCUCGUCGGAGUCUGAGCAUACGAGUUGGUACCCGAAAGAUGGUGAACUAUGCCCCGCCAGGGCGAAGUCGGAGGAAACUCCGGUGGAGGCCCGAAGCGGUUCUGACGUGCAAAUCGAUCGUCGGAGCGAGGUAUAGGGGCGAAAGACUAAUCGAACCAUCUAGUAGCUGGUUCCCUCCGAAGUUUCCCUCAGGAUAGCUGGCAUUCGUGAAACUCAGUCUCUCCUCGUAGAGAGAAUGAAUAGAGGCCCUGGGGCCCUAGACGACCUCAACCUAUUAUCAAACUGCUACGAGGUGCGUCGGUAGGUGUUUGUGUGUGGACUUGCUGACUUGAAGUCCCGACCUACGCUAUGGGAUGUGCGAGUGCCGUGUGGGCCACUUUUG
RNAcentral lists this ribosomal RNA (1488 nucleotides) under Afrarchaea entabeniensis. Its description in RNAcentral is "partial 28S ribosomal RNA". It matches the Rfam family "Eukaryotic large subunit ribosomal RNA", at positions 102 to 1139 of the family's 3401-position model. Lineage: Eukaryota; Metazoa; Arthropoda; Arachnida; Araneae; Archaeidae. The record is from RNAcentral.